This 2436-nucleotide long non-coding RNA is filed under the name Macaca fascicularis (crab-eating macaque). RNAcentral's name for it is "lncRNA (ENSMFAG00000059663.1)". Lineage: Eukaryota; Metazoa; Chordata; Mammalia; Primates; Cercopithecidae. The record is from RNAcentral.
UUCUGGGCUGCUGCAGUGUUGUGUUGGGGUAACUGUAUUAACUUCGUUUGAAUUUUCUUCCUGUUCUUUUGGAAUAAGUGUUGAUAGUUUGUGCUGCUUGUUCACCCCAGAGGCGAGGAUGUCCUUUAGGCCUGGAGGAGCACAGCCCCUGCAGGGAGGUGCCGGGCCUCUACCUCUCAUGUCAUCAGCAGCCCUCUCCACGUCUCCUCUUAGCUCCUCGUGCCUACGGCUGGGGUCACGGGCGCUUCGCUCUGCUGUUUGAGAUCCUCGGAAAAGAUGUUUGCCCUGAAGAGAGAUUGGGGGUGUGUGGCUGAUUUUAAAUAGGAGGAAAUGAUUGUAACAGAAUGAGCAAUGCCUAGCACUUAGUCUCAGGCUUGAGAAAUUGUGUUUUAGAAGCAAGGUAUCCCCAACUCCGGUUUCCUUCAAAUUAAAUCUUUUAAAGAGUCCACAAAUAUAAAUAGUUAAAGCCUAAAACUAUGCAACAGAGGGCCUAGAGCCCAAGCCACUGCCACCUCUGACUCCAAGACACCUCAAAAACUUGGCCCUCCUCCUCAGAGAACCCCCCUUCUGCUCCUCCUUCCACAGUGCUCCCUCCUCCCCCACCUCCUCCCUCCUCCUCCCCUCCUCCUCUUCCCUCCCCUUCUUCCUUCCCCUUCCCUUCUUCCUUCCUUCCUCUCCCCUUCUUCCUUCCUUCCUCUCCCCUUCUUCCUUCCUUCUCCCUUUCCUCCUCUCCCUUCCUCCUCUUCCUCCCUCUUCCUCCUCUUCCCCUCUUCCCCUCUUCCCCUCCCUGUCCUUGGGCAACCUCCAUGGAACUCUGGUUCAAAGUCACUGGUCUGUGGGGCCGCCCAUUUGAUAGAUGAGCACGCUGGGGACCAGACACAAGUGACUGACUCAGACCAGCUCGCAUGUCGUCUCCUCCCGUAACACCGGGUUGUCCCUAAUGGAAGAGAAUCAAUGAUGCUGCUUCACUGAUCUCCAGGGAAAACAGGUUGAUAACAGGUUAUAAACAUGGGAAUGUUUUGGAAAAAGCGUCGUCCACUUGUCAGCUCCAUCUCUCCUGCCCGGAAGAUGUAGGGGAAACCUGCCUUCAGCCCACCCUCAUCCCAUAACAGGACAGAGGACAAAGGGGCAGAGACCCAGGUCCUGUCAGUGCCCUCAGAAACCCCCAUUUCCUCCUCAUGGUGGAAGUGGAAACCAUCCCACUGGACUAGAUUUUCCCGGGAAGCCCCUUCACCCCGAAAGCAAGGAAUCUGGUUUGAGCACACACCAUUCUCGGUGCCAUGACUUUCUGCUGCUGAACCCUGCAUACGUGGCCCAUUGAUCUUGCUAGUCCAGUGUUACUGGGUCCUGGGAGUUUCUGUGGGCUGAUGGCAGGUGUUUACCAUUGUGUUCAGAGGGGAGAACAGAACUUUAUUUGUCGAAAUCAGAUGAUAACCAUUGCCAUGUGAUUCCUUGGGUUGGUUUGGGUGGGGGGUGCUCAAUGCUUUUCCUGAGGGCUAAGUUCUAGUUUGAGACCGUCUCUCUUUGUCGCCCAAGCUGGAGUGCAGUGGUGCGAUCUUGGCUCACUGCAACCUCCGCCUCCUGGUUUCAAGCAGUUCUCCCUGCCUCAGCCUCCCAAGUAGCUGGGAUUAUAGGUGUGUGCCACCACGCUUGGCUAAUUACAAAAAUAUUUAAUAUAGGCUGGGUUUUGCCAUAUUGGUCAGGCUGGUCUCGAACUCCUUGCCUCAAAUGAUCGGCCCACCUUGCCCUCCUAAAAUACUGGGAUUGCAGGCCAGUCUAUGUUUGAAAAUCAGUCUUGAAGAGCCUAGGAGGAGAGGGAUAAGCUUCAACUAGGUGAAUAACUAUGCAUAUGUUAAAAAUAUGGGCCAAAAUCUACCCCAAAUGUUAACUCUUCUGCUUUGCGUAUUAUAUCCAUUUAUAGUUAUUUCAGCACUAAGAUUUUUAAAGACUCUUUUGAUAAUUAUGGAGAAAUUACUAUUAAAACUCAGCUGCAUUUGUAACACUUCAAAGAACUAAUUGGAUGACAUCAUUUUUCCCAGAGGCAUUUUGGAUUGUUACAUAAUUAAUGUUUAUCUCUUUGCCAGAAAUCUUUUUUUUUUCUUUUCCAGAACAGAUACCUGAAAAGAAACUUUCCUUUGCAUUAAGUGUUAUUUCACUGUGUGACAAUCAAUUUUUGAACGUGAGAACAAGAUCAUCAUGUAUUUUUGGGAUACUUCUUGCUUAAUAGUGAUAAUGCUAAGUGUUAAAAUUAUGCAACAAUUUGUUUCUUUGAAAAUUACUAUUUGCCUGCUCACCAGGUGGGAGCUGAUGAGAACGUGGAUGUAAAAAUUAAAUUGUAUUUAGCUUGUAUAAAAGAAGUUUAAAAAAAAACUUUUUUUUUUUUGUUUUGUGCUACUACUGAAGUUGCUUCGUUGUGGAAAUGAGGUUAUUGCAGGC